UUUGUUUUUCACAGAAAAGAUAUUCAUGUGGAACUCCGUGCCGGUUGGGGUCCUUUAUUUUAGAUGUCAGUUGAUGUCGAAGGUCAAGCAAUAGCCUUCACUUUACUGUUUGAAGGUCGGCUUUGGAUCCAUGAGAAAAUUGAAGUCACGAGGUGAAUUGCUGCCUUGACAGUUGCGGAGAAGAAUGAAGACAGAGAGUCAUAGUAUCCCAGGCUCAGAAGCUGCUGCUGGAGCCAGUAACUGGUCCAACAGGGAAGAACUGGAAAUGCAGAGAAGGAAGCACACUUCCAUCUACAAAAGCCAGAGACAUGUCUUGCAAGAAGUUGCUGUGGCUGGGGUCAAAGAGGUUACUGCUUGUGUUCUCCUCCAGGGUUUUGAUGGGUUCCUGUCUCACACUGAGGUCUUUCAUCCAUUUUGAGUUUAUUUUGUAUACGGUGUAAUAAAAUAGUCCAGUUUCAUUUUUCUGAUGUGGCU
RNAcentral lists this long non-coding RNA (474 nucleotides) under Ursus maritimus (polar bear). Its description in RNAcentral is "lncRNA (ENSUMAG00000013860.1)". Lineage: Eukaryota; Metazoa; Chordata; Mammalia; Carnivora; Ursidae. The record is from RNAcentral.